CACAUUAAAUAGGAAGCUUGGCUCUUACAGCACUGGUCCCACCAAACCUUUUUCUCUUCCAAGGCAAAAUUUGGCCUUCAUGCUCAUGUGGACCCAUGCUACUACCUUUGAAGAUCAGCACUGCUAGUACAAGGAGGCAACUCCACUCUUCAUGAACAAGGGCAGCACACCUCCUGUACCAGCCAAAUGGUAGUUCAAGGGUGGAUGGCAUGAUUCAUGGGCACCUACACUAUACCUAACAGGCAGUUCAUUAACGUGCUCCUCAGAACCUCCAGUGUGCUGCGGAACUUCAGAGAGAGGUGGCAAAAUACAGCAUGCAGGAGAGCUGCGCAGCAGAGAAGGUGUGCCAUAGCUGGUUAUCCCCACGCCAUAUCUGAGUAAUUGACUCGCAGAUUUUGCACUCAGCCAUCCUAUGUUGCAGUUUGGACCACUUCUCCAGUUUUUCAAGAUGGCCUCUGGAGAAGCUUCCUUAUCCUGAAGUAGCACACAGCAGAAGAGCCAUGGAGCAUGGUUCUUUCUAGCCCGAGCUGCAGCAUGAGGCACAGAAGGGGCAGGACACAGGAAAGGAGAUGCUGUUACAGUACCAGGGUAUUCAGGAGUGGCAGAAUGGAAAGAAGAGACCAUCUUGUACUAUCCAACAGGAUAUUUUGUUAAAACUGACAUGGGGAUUGCCAAUGCCUUGCUUUCAAAACUGGGACGUUAAAAAGUACUUCACAUUAGGACAGCGUUUAUUUUGUUCUUCAGUGGAAAAAGUGAAACAUUCCUUAAUCAGCGAGGAAGCAUGCUUUCUGCAUACCCCUGCACAAAAUUUGGUAUGAGUUCAACAAAUGACAAUUCAGCUGCUGAAGCAUAACCAACUUGGACUGCUUUAGAGAGCUUUCCAUCUGAGGAUCUCAAUCGUUUAUCCCAAUGAGCUUAAUGAAGUUUGAUCACCUCUUUCUCUAUAGCCUCUCUGUUGAGGAGUUCGUCUGGCUUUUUUACUUGAAUCACUUACCUCUGUCCUUGCUGAGGUGAACUACAGACAAUUCUGUGCAGGAUCCUGACUUUUGUUGCCAGGCCAUUGAAGUCUUGCUGUUAUGUUGACCAGGCCAUUAUGUUGACCAGGGAAACUUGCUUCCGUUCUUGCUCCCAAGGAUAUAGAGAGAAAGAGGAGGCUUCAGAAAUUCCAGCCAAAUGUGGAAGGAAAAAAUGACUUUAAAAAAAAAAAAAAAAGAAGAUGUGGGAAGAGAGCUUUUCAUGACAAAAUCUUUUUUUGAAGGCCAUUUCUUUUUAUCCUUUCUGAAUUUUCUGUUUGGAACAAAGAAUCUCCACGUGCCUGACACUGGAUUGUCAUGGAGCUCGUUA
Molecule: non-coding RNA, 1344 nt
Organism: Struthio camelus australis
Lineage: Eukaryota; Metazoa; Chordata; Aves; Struthioniformes; Struthionidae
Source: RefSeq, a predicted model, not a curated record